Molecule: long non-coding RNA, 583 nt
Organism: Sebastes umbrosus (honeycomb rockfish)
Lineage: Eukaryota; Metazoa; Chordata; Actinopteri; Perciformes; Sebastidae
Exons: 5
Source: RefSeq, a predicted model, not a curated record
ACUGGAUCUGGGACAGAGCCAUGAUGUCUCCAGAAACAAAAUGAAAAACACUAAAAACUUUACGCAGCUCCUCUCCUAAACUCCUGCAGAAAGAAAACUGCUUAAAAGUGUUGUAAUUGCUCCUCUGUGGUUCAACCAGGUCCAAAUGAAGGACCUGACCGACCAGAGAGACAGAGAGAGAGAGACAGAGAGAGAGAGAGAGACAGAGAGAGACACCCGGCUGCGGCUCCGCCCGACAGCUCGCCGGAUCUCUACGAGGGAGCGGCGGCAAAAUACUGGAGCGAAUCCUGACUCAUCUUCGGCGGAGAGAAAACCUCGCCAUCCUCCACAACCUCCCAUGGGCCCCGUUUCUGUUUUCAUCAGACCUACCUACCUACAGCGGAACAGAGACCACGGACUUGAAUUGCCGAUGACCAUCAUAAGCUAACAAAUCUGAAGCUAAUGAAGAAAAGACAUGGAGAACUCUCCAGGGGCGCUCUCACUCUCUCGGACCAGAAACGCCCCGCACUCCCUGUGUCUGAGUCGACUUUCUGCCACACCGCGAGAUAUACGACCGGCAAACCAGCUGGAAGCAAGAAAGAAA